UCUAUUUUUUUCAAUCCAACUCUGAAUUCGGAUUAAAAAGAAAGAAGCAAAAAAAUUACAAAUAGACGUUAACCAAUUUGGUUAACGUAAAGCUCUCCCGAGAUAUUUUUAAACAAAGCCCCCAGUAA
Molecule: non-coding RNA, 128 nt
Filed under: Rhodella violacea
Lineage: Eukaryota; Rhodophyta; Rhodellophyceae; Rhodellales; Rhodellaceae
Source: RNAcentral